AAUGAACGCUGGCGGCAUGCCUAACACAUGCAAGUCGAACGAGAACAUCGGGUCUAGUGGCCCACGGGUGCGUAACGCGUGGGAACCUGCACUUAGGUUCGGAAUAACUAUACGACAGGGGUGCUAAUACCGGACAAUGUCUUAGGACCAAAGAUUUAUCGCCUGUGGUUGGACCAUCGUUGGAUUAGCUAGUUCGUAGGGUAAUAGGCUACUAAGGCGAGCAUCAAUAGCUUGUCAGAGAGGAUGGUCACCCACACCGAGACUAAGACACGGCAUAGACUCCUACGGGAGGCAGCAAUGGGUAAUGGUGGACAGUGGGGGGAAUCCUGAUGCAGCAAGGACGCGAAAAUGAUGAAGGUCUUGGAGUUGUAAUGUUCAUUUACCCAGGAUCAUAAUGACGGUACCGAGAGAGUAAGCUCCGGCUAACUCCGUG
Molecule: ribosomal RNA, 433 nt
Filed under: uncultured bacterium
Lineage: Bacteria
Description: partial 16S ribosomal RNA
Rfam family: Bacterial small subunit ribosomal RNA
Source: RNAcentral